RNAcentral lists this ribosomal RNA (491 nucleotides) under uncultured bacterium. Its description in RNAcentral is "partial 16S ribosomal RNA". It matches the Rfam family "Bacterial small subunit ribosomal RNA", at positions 29 to 506 of the family's 1533-position model. The record is from RNAcentral.
AGUGGACGCUGGCGGUAGGCCUAACACAUGCAAGUCGAACGGCAGCACAGUAAGAGCUUGCUCUUACGGGUGGCGAGUGGCGGACGGGUGAGGAAUACAUCGGAAUCUACUUUUUCGUGGGGGAUAACGUAGGGAAACUUACGCUAAUACCGCAUACGACCUCCGGGUGAAAGCAGGGGAUCUUCGGACCUUGCGCGAUUGAAUGAGCCGAUGUCGGAUUAGCUAGUUGGCGGGGUAAAGGCCCACCAAGGCGACGAUCCGUAGCUGGUCUGAGAGGAUGAUCCGCCACACUGGAACUGAGACACGGUACAGACUCCUACGGGAGGCAGCAGUGGGGAAUAUUGGACAAUGGGCGCAAGCCUGAUCCAGCCAUACCGCGUGGGUGAAGAAGGCCUUCGGGUUGUAAAGCCCUUUUGUUGGGAAAGAAAAGCAGCAGGUUAAUACCCCGCUGUUCUGACGGUACCCAAAGAAUAAGCACCGGCUAACUUCGU